RNAcentral lists this ribosomal RNA (253 nucleotides) under uncultured bacterium. Its description in RNAcentral is "partial 16S ribosomal RNA". It matches the Rfam family "Bacterial small subunit ribosomal RNA", at positions 524 to 776 of the family's 1533-position model. The record is from RNAcentral.
UACGAGGGGGGCAAAUGUUGUUCGGAAUCACUGGGCGUAAAGCGCGCGUAGGCGGCCCUGUAAGUCCGCUGUGAAAGUCAAAGGCUCAACCUUUGAAAGCCGGUGGAUACUGCAGGGCUAGAGUCCGGAAGAGGCGAGUGGAAUUCCUGGUGUAGCGGUGGAAUGCGCAGAUAUCAGGAGGAACACCAAUAGCGAAGGCAGCUCGCUGGGACGGUACUGACGCUAAGGCGCGAAAGCGUGGGGAGCGAACAGG